CAGUCUAGAUUAACUUGUUACAGGACAGCUAUAUUUAUUAAUACACUUUAAUUAACACCAUUUUCAUCUAAAUCUGUUUCCUUUUUUAACUUUAUAGAGGGAGAUGGUUAAAAUUGUGAUACCAGGAAUUGGUCUUUGUUUUGCACUUGAAGUUUCCCAAUAGGCCGAAGUUAGAGGAUGGUGUAUCCAUUAAUUAGGCUAUUUGGUGCAUGGACAUGCUUUAUAUGGAGCCCUGCUGCUCUUCACCCUACUCUGAAUAACACCAUAGGAGUGGACAGGCUGACCAUUUCUUGAGCCCAGAUGUGAACCCAGUCAAGUGCCCUGCUGAUGCCUUCUGCCCUGCUGGCAGCACCGAGCCUGAGUAUUGCAUGGAGGUGUUUCUUUACAAGUCAGGAGACUCUUGUCACCUGGCCCCUCUGAYGAUCAUCCUCCUGGCCGCUUUCGCAGCAGGUGGGAUCCUUGUCCUCUUUCUGAUAAUUCUGAAGAGAAGGCAAGAAUAUAGGAAGAAAUCUUUGAAGUCUCUGCUGUUACCAAAAGGAUCAGGACAACACACAACGUAUGGUGUGAUGGAGCACACAGAACCAGUGUACGCUGGUUGGUAGCAAGCUGUGAAAUGUUAUCAACAAGCUUUCUGUUCGUUUUUCUGUAUUGGCAAUAUGGAUGUGUGUAUAUGGGCAAAAUGUUAACCACAAUCAACCUAUUUCAACCUCUGUAGCUAAAAUAUUUAAUUAUACUAACCACACAUGCACAGAAAUGCAAAUAAAUCAUUUCACAAUCAGUUGUGACUACUUGUG
This 794-nucleotide long non-coding RNA is filed under the name Dromaius novaehollandiae (emu). RNAcentral describes it as "lncRNA (ENSDNVG00000013046.1)". The record is from RNAcentral. Lineage: Eukaryota; Metazoa; Chordata; Aves; Casuariiformes; Dromaiidae.